GUGGAUUAGAUACCCUGGUAGUCCACACUGUAAACGAUGAUUGCUAGGUGUGGGGGGUCUGACCCCUUCCGUGCCGCAGUUAACGCAAUAAGCAAUCCACCUGGGGAGUACGACCGCAAGGUUGAAACUCAAAGGAAUUGACGGGGGCCCGCACAAGCAGUGGAUUAUGUGGUUUAAUUCGAAGCAACGCGAAGAACCUUACCAGGUCUUGACAUCCAACUAACGAACUAGAGAUAGAUUAGGUGCCCUUCGGGGAAAGUUGAGACAGGUGGUGCAUGGUCGUCGCCAGCU
RNAcentral lists this ribosomal RNA (291 nucleotides) under uncultured bacterium. RNAcentral describes it as "partial 16S ribosomal RNA". It matches the Rfam family "Bacterial small subunit ribosomal RNA", at positions 773 to 1060 of the family's 1533-position model. The record is from RNAcentral.